This 216-nucleotide unclassified non-coding RNA is filed under the name Glomus sp. RNAcentral describes it as "partial contains 5.8S ribosomal RNA and internal transcribed spacer 2". The stretch from base 1 to 65 matches the Rfam family "5.8S ribosomal RNA", at positions 84 to 154 of the family's 154-position model. Lineage: Eukaryota; Fungi; Glomeromycota; Glomeromycetes; Glomerales; Glomeraceae. The record is from RNAcentral.
GUGAAUCAUCGAAUUUUUGAACGCAAAUUGCACUCUCUUCCGAGAGUAUGCCUGUUUCAGGGUCAGCCUAUAAAUAAUCGACAUCGUUGCUGUUUCGCGGUUUCGUUCGUCGGAGAUUGGGUCAUCUUCAUUCCUUUUGGUUUUAAGCGGCUUAAAAUUUUCUUUUUGUUUCCAUGUUCGUUUCUAAGAUUUUUUUCUUUUUACGUUUAUGGUUAU